Molecule: unclassified non-coding RNA, 200 nt
Filed under: soil metagenome
Description: partial contains internal transcribed spacer 2 and large subunit ribosomal RNA
Source: RNAcentral
CUGUUCGAGCGUCAUUACAACCCUCAAGCACUGCUUGGUAUUGGAUGUCACCCUUGUGGUACAUCUUAAAAGUAUUGGCAGUAGCAUUCAGCUUCUAGUGUAGUUAAUUUCUCGCUUUGGAGUUAAAUGUUCUAACUGCUAGAACCCCUAAUUUUUCGAAGGUUGACCUCGGAUCAGGUAGGGAUACCCGCUGAACUUAA